This 481-nucleotide ribosomal RNA is filed under the name uncultured bacterium. RNAcentral describes it as "partial 16S ribosomal RNA". It matches the Rfam family "Bacterial small subunit ribosomal RNA", at positions 28 to 507 of the family's 1533-position model. The record is from RNAcentral.
GACGAACGUUGGCGGCGUGCUUAAUACAUGCAAGUCAACUGAAGCAGUGGUAGCAAUAUCGCUGUGGAGGUGGCGCACGGGUGAGUAACACGUAGGUAAUCUGCCUUCAGGUCUGGCAUAACUCCGGGAAACCGGGGCUAAUAGCAGAUGAUGCAGCGGCUCGACAUCGAGACAGUUGUUAAAGCUAUGGCGCCUGAAGAUGAGCCUGCGUCUGAUUAGCUAGUUGGCGGGGUAACGGCCCACCAAGGCAACGAUCAGUAGCUGGUCUGAGAGGAUGAUCAGCCACACUGGAACUGAGACACGGUCCAGACUCCUACGGGAGGCAGCAGUAAGGAAUAUUGCUCAAUGGGAGAAAUCCUGAAGCAGCAACGCCGCGUGAGGGACGAAGGGCUUUUGCUUGUAAACCUCUGUAGUGAGAGAAAAAAAUCCCAAUCUUUGGGACAUGAUGGUAUCUCAAAAGUAAGCCCCGGCUAACGACGUG